GACGAACGCGGGCGGCGUGCCUAAUACAUGCAAGUUGAGCGAUGAAGAUUGGUGCUUGCACCAAUUUGAAGAGCAGCGAACGGGUGAGUAACGCGUGGGGAAUCUGCCUUUGAGCGGGGGACAACAUUUGGAAACGAAUGCUAAUACCGCAUAAUAACUUUAAACAUAAGUUUUAAGUUUGAAAGAUGCAAUUGCAUCACUCAAAGAUGAUCCCGCGUUGUAUUAGCUAGUUGGUGAGGUAAAGGCUCACCAAGGCGAUGAUACAUAGCCGACCUGAGAGGGUGAUCGGCCACAUUGGGACUGAGACACGGCCCAAACUCCUACGGGAGGCAGCAGUAGGGAAUCUUCGGCAAUGGACGAAAGUCUGACCGAGCAACGCCGCGUGAGUGAAGAAGGUUUUCGGAUCGUAAAACUCUGUUGGUAGAGAAGAACGUUGGUGAGAGUGGAAAGCUCAUCAAGUGACGGUAACUACCCAGAAAGGGACGGCUAACUACGUGCCAGCAGCCGCGGUAAUACGUAGGUCCCGAGCGUUGUCCGGAUUUAUUGGGCGUAAAGCGAGCGCAGGUGGUUUAUUAAGUCUGGUGUAAAAGGCAGUGGCUCAACCAUUGUAUGCAUUGGAAACUGGUAGACUUGAGUGCAGGAGAGGAGAGUGGAAUUC
This 658-nucleotide ribosomal RNA is filed under the name uncultured Lactococcus sp. Its description in RNAcentral is "bacterial SSU rRNA". It matches the Rfam family "Bacterial small subunit ribosomal RNA", at positions 28 to 669 of the family's 1533-position model. Lineage: Bacteria; Bacillati; Bacillota; Bacilli; Lactobacillales; Streptococcaceae. The record is from RNAcentral.